UUAAACAGAAGCAGUGUGGUAGGUAUAGAAAACUGAGUAUAAUUUCUACUCUUUGAUAUUGUAAUUACUCUAAUCCAUAUAGCCAACAUGAAGGCAGGUAGGUGUUUUGCAGAUCUUUCUAUCCUCCGACCUUUUGCAUAUGUGAACUCAGAUCUCUGUAUAUCCAAGCAGAGAUAUCAUAAACAUCUACUCAGGUGGAAACUGGACUUUUAAGAACUAGUUUUAAUGUAAUUUUGUCCUUUGUGUAAAGUGUUUUUAAAAAUCUUGAAUUUAACAAAUACAUGAAGGACCCAACAUUCAUUUUCUCUGUCCAGAACAUUUGUUUCAUAGGCAUACAAGUCAGAUGAAAUAAAUAUUUGCUUUGGAGCUGUUAAGAUGUCACAUAUUUGUUAACUUAUGUGUGUGCUCUUUAUUAAAUCCAAUGCUUGGCAAAGCAUCAAUUCAGUUAGUAAUGUAAAUUUCCCCACACUGUGUUUUGUUCUGUAAGUGGUCCAAACUCAUAAAGCACAUUUUGCCCACUAUCUACCCGAAACCUGAGGUAAAAUUUACCUUCUUAAUCAGUCCAAAAAACCCUCAUGAUAUAGUAUCUAAAAUUUUCUAGUCUCCAAAAUAGCAUUUGAAUGUGUGUAUCAAUCAUGAUUAUAAUAUGGAGUCUAUGGCAUUGUAUUUAUGAUUUAUAUUAGAAAAACCCCAACAUAAUACAUGUUGCUAUUGCACUGUUUUGGGUAUAAUGCAAGCCAAGUGAUGUCACCCGGAAUGUAAGAACUCAAUGUAUUUAAUAAUGUCACAGCCAAUGUGUCUCAAAGUUAUUGCCAAUGAAAAAAGGGGAAAAAUGUUUUUACACGUAGAUAUAACAAAGGAAAAGUUUCCCUAAACAAUGCUUACCCUACUACAUGAAACAUUCUUUUAUGUGUGUAAACCCUCUACAUUGAUUUCAUGAUUCUACUAAAGGGUGACUGUUUGGAGCCAGUUAUCUCUAAGUCUCUGUUUCUGCUUGCCUUUCCAGCAGAGGCACUGACUCCAUUUUCAAGAACGCUAUCCUUUCAAGGAUGUUUGUACAGCAAACAGCCUUGAAAGACAGAGAACUAUCUUCCUCCAGAGAAAAGGACAACUUUGUUUCCUACACAUUAAAAUAAAGAUAAGGGCAGGCAGCCUUGCAGCCAAUUAUAAAAGUCUCAAGGUCCCUAAGCUCAAAGUUACGCUCCUCUGGACCCUCUGAGUGCCACUCUGUUGGAAGUGAGCCUUGAGAAACAAGUGCAAAUGCUGAGUCUGAAUGCCACAAUUGCUUUGUCUCUGAGCCAGGAGUCUUGUGUCUUCUGCCAGCAUCCAUGAAACUGGCAGGCUAACUGGUUAGCUGCAAGUCAGGUGAAAUCUCAGCCAAUAUUCCCACAUUAUCAAUUUAACCAUAAAGCCAAUUUUGCCAAUUUAUUUCUUCAUCUUAGUUAGUCUCAAAGCAAAUAGAGAAUGUCUUUUUUUCUGCAGCAUCUGCUUACUAAUACUAUAUGAUGCUACAAAGUGCCUUCCAGAAGCACCUAGUCUUUUAGCAGAACGAAAUCUCUUACUCAUCUGUCUUCACCCAGGAGCCUCCCUUAGACAGAGAGAGCUUCCUGCUUGUCCUUGGGACUUCCAUAGUUAGCAAAUCCGAUUGCUCUAGAUGGGUUUAUGUAAGAAGAUCUGUAGUAAUGGGAAACACCAGCAACAUACUCAGAAAUUUAGAUUCAUUCUGUGUCUCAGUGCUUCUAAAACUGUAAUAGCAGAUCAUGACGUGCUUCAAGAUGGACUCAUAGUCAUGUAAUAUACAACAGCAGUUCCAGUGACCCACGUUUUUUCUGUGCAUCCUGUUUACAUCAGCAAGGAAAGCUCUGAUUGGGUCACCGCUACUGGUAGUUACUUGGCAUGCCGUACUCCUCACUAUAUCCUCCUGGGUGUCUUCGGCUCUGGUCUAGUCAUUUCAGCCGGGGUAAGCAGGGUUAUUCUCGUUGAACAUCCAUACACGUGGCAAAAGCCAUAGCCACUUGAAGAAUAGCCUGAUGUUGCUCUCCUCUGCAGAGAGCCAUGGGCAGAUAGAGCCAUCAUCGCCUGUGUAUUACUGCCUCAAGUAACAUCUUACCAUCCUUAUACCUCACUACAAAGUUACAAAUACCUGCCAGGUAAACAUCAAAUUAGAAAACCCUAGAGGUUAAAACAAGAGAUAAUUUUGCUCCAUCCCUUGAUCUGGUAGGUAAGUUGAGUUACCCCAGAGCUAAGCCAGAUCAGAACCCCGGUUUUCCAUUUCCCAUUCUGCUUGAUUUCCACACAAUGCCCAUAUGUGGGCAACACAAUCCUUCUUGGGAAGGCAGCAAGACCCUUAGCCCCCCAAAUGCAGAGCCCACAUUUUCAGGCUCUGCCACAGUGCAUGCUCCGUGGCGUAGCAUGUUCUCUCUCUCUUCUCUCUCUGUUUCUCUCUCUCCCUUUUCCUCGCUCCCUCCCUUUCUGUCUAUGAAUUCAUUGAAUCACCUAGAUUUGCAUAUAACCUGAUUCGGAUUGCAUUUUUAAUGUUUCUCACUUCUUCCAUGCUUCUGCGUGAUACCACUUCAUUUUAAGAAGUCCCCGAUUGCUAUUUUAUGAAUCGCUUAGUACCAUGAACAAUCCCAAGGAACAAAUUCUCAGGUUUUAUAGCUCUUCGUGCUUUCCAAGCCAGCAUAUCACAGUCUCCAGGAGGCUUUCCUGAUGUAAGAAUGGACGCCAGGCUCUUUGUACGCGUUCCGGUAACCAACAGCACGGCCUCUGUCAUCGCGUGAUCCAAUCAUCUCAUCACUGCCUGAUGACAUGGCUGCCUCCCCUACUGAACUGCGAGCUCCUGGUGGGCAAGACCCCACAGCUUAUUCGGGGGUAAUGGAAUAAGGGUGACAACGUCCCAGACACAAAAUCUUACCAAAAUCUAACCAAAAGAUAAUAGGAGGAGAGGUAGGAGACAGAGUUGUCUGCACUGAAUUUCAACGGUGCAUCUCUUUGUCUUUAAGCUCAGACUGCUCUCUUUGCAGCCCCAGACAGAUGUCAAUUACAGUGGCUUCUCUUUGGAAACACAGAGCAAACUUUCUCUAUGCUGUCCACGGAGCAAGUCAACAAAGACGUUUUCACUGAAAUUCAAACACCGAGAGCAACAAAGAGACUAUAUACGUCCUCAAGAGAGGCGCUCGCCAGCCGUCUUUCCAGAACUACUGUCGGGAUCCGGGUCAAUGCCUCCCUUUCAUCAUCACCGUAGACCAGGAGCAUGAUAGGAGGAGAAAGAUGCGUGAGGAUCCAUUUAAAGCUAGUUGCUGAAUGCGGUGCUCAUCUUGACCACCUCCGAUCUCUGGCUCAGAAUGACAGGGGUUUGGAGGGAAGUGUUUAGAGGAAAAAAAAAAAUCCACGUGCCCCAGGUUUUAAGGUUAAGAGAUUUUCCUGCAUGGAGCGGCCUGGGCUCCUUGGGUUUUCUGUCCUAGACAAAGUAGCUGCCCAGAAAGCAGCCAGGCCAGGGCUCCCUUGAGGUGAUCCUGGCUGUGAGGACCGCCCCGCUGGCCACACCAAGGUGACUGUGACAGGGAGGCCUCGGGCAGACGCAGCUUCCAAGGCGGGCUGGAGAGCCCGUCACCCACAGCAGGGAAUACCCAGGGAAAUGAACUUGGUGUCCAGCAGAAGAGUGGGGAGAGAAGGCUUCGGAGAACUCACAAAAGCGCCCCAGGAGAGAAAAAGCCAGAAUUCGGGCUUCCGCGCCAUCCAGAGGGCGGGAGUGCCAGAUCAGGACAUCACCAUAUGAAGUCUUCCGUGGGCCACGGCUGGUUUUUCGCGGUUCAUCGGGAGAGUGGUCAGAGAAUGAAGGCCACGUGAGCCUCUCCCUCCUCCCUGUAGCUGUCUGGGUCCGAGGCCAGCCUGCAAGGUCUGGGGGUGAGAAAGCUUGACCCCAAUGCAAGACGUUGCUUCCUUCGACCUGCAUUUUCUCGGUUGCCCACAUACCAAGGGAGACGGUUGCCGGGGGUGUAUUUCAAACACGUCGGCUUACACGCACACCACGUUUUCCUUACAUUUAUACAGAUCACAGGGACAAUGGAAAGAAAAGCAAAACUGGGGGAGAGAGAGAAUGGGAAAUCGACAUGACAUGGGUAAGAAGGAGAGAGCUUGCCUCACGCCUGUGGGUCCAGCUAACGGGUUGAGUCUCAUGGUGGGUGUGCCCCCACUUUUCCAAAGAUUUACGACAUCAUUACCUGUUUUCGCUAACCAAGGAAAUCCAAAGAGAGCUUUUGUUUUUAUGGAAAAAAAAAAAAAAGAAAAAAAAAGGUGAAAAGCGAGAUGAGUCUUUGGCAUCAUUUGGCACCUGUUGGGCCUUUGUGGAGGCAGCGUGCACCCGAGCAGGGAGACUGGCUCCGCCAAGCUCCUUCCCCAGGAACCACACGCGGCAUCUCAGAGCCCAGCCGCCAGAGCUCUGGACUGUGUCUAUGAGCAUCGGUGCUUUAUCUCGAUUUCUUUUGUUCAUCUGUUAGCAAGAUGUGUCCUAAGGUAUAAGAAAAGCCUAAGAGGGCUUAUUGUUUUGCGUCUGGGAGCACUCGAAGAAUUUUCCAUGGAAGUUAAUGACAACUGCUUCUUCCCUUUAUGGCUAUUUUGGUUUAUGAAAGGUUUUGUGGGAAUGCUCUAGGUUCAGACGGUGGGGGUGGGGUGACCUGCACUUCCCAGCAAGCUGCUUGAACGGGUCGUAACUGAAGACGGGCAGGAUCUAACUGUAACCUUUACCAAAGUCAGUUACGACUUUGUGCACCUGGUUUUGCAAUUUUUCGACGUACAGCCGCUUUCAUUAGGCAGGAAGCUGGGCAUGAGCGACAGGAGGAUGGACAGCCCCAACCCAGGACCGCCCGGGGACCACCCGUGGCACCCAUCUGGCAGCGGGUCUGUGGGCACAACAUCCCGGCCCAGGGAGAGUUAACUUUGAUAUGCUUGUUGUGCUUAUGCAGACCUGACCUAUGUCCCUAGAAUAGACAAAAUGUUGCGAUUUCCUACCCCAUGCAGGUAUUUUAAAUACAUCUUGGGAAAGGACAUGGACUGUUGGCUAAUUAUUAUAUAAUCCAGGGCUGUCACUCAAAUGUUGCAACCCUAGAAGCCAGGGGAAAAGCGAAACUGAUAGAAGCCCACACCCUAGAGUUUCUAGGGCCUUUGUCUCUCCUCACUUGACCUGCUCCUCCCUUGGAGUGUCCUUUUAAUAACAGGUUGCUCAGCUGUACUUUCCUUUCCCUGUCCUGGAAGUCUUUACUGUGGCAAGGGAAAGGACCAGGGCUUCGUUCCUUUUCCAUCUAACUCUCGGUAACACUUUGAGGAAUCUAAAUAUUUCAUUCACCUCAAUAUUGGAAGAUAUUGUGAGAGGCUUACUAAGUGUCGAUCUCCAAAACCAGAACUCCAUGAAAGAGACAUGACAUCCCAGGGCUGUGAGACGAAGUGGUAAAGCAAGAAAAAGGCCAGGUGAGGGUGCCAGGUCUGGGUGGGUGGCUUAGUGGCUUAGACAUCCUACCGACUCUUGGUGUCAGCUCAAGUCGUGAUCUCACAGUUUGUGGGUUUGAGCCCCACAUCAGGCUCUGUGCUGACCGUGCGGAGGCUUCUUGGGA
This is a long non-coding RNA of Prionailurus viverrinus (fishing cat), 5609 nucleotides long. RefSeq lists it as uncharacterized. The transcript has 3 exons. NCBI's taxonomy places the organism in Eukaryota, Metazoa, Chordata, Mammalia, Carnivora, Felidae. The record is from RefSeq and is a predicted model, not a curated record.